Molecule: ribosomal RNA, 288 nt
Filed under: Chaetoceros curvisetus
Lineage: Eukaryota; Bacillariophyta; Thalassiosirophyceae; Chaetocerotales; Chaetocerotaceae
Description: partial Bacterial large subunit ribosomal RNA
Rfam family: Bacterial large subunit ribosomal RNA
Source: RNAcentral
GAAGGCAGACCCGGGGAACUGAAACAUCUAAGUACCCGGAGGAAAGGAAAUCAAUUGAUACUCCCCUAGUAGCGGCGAGCGAACGGGGAGGAGCCGACUGAUUAUAAUUUAGAGGAAUGACUUGGAAAGGUCAAUCGUAGAGGGUGAUAAUCCCGUACUCGAAAGGUUAUAAGAAGCAUAUUAAGUAGGGCGGAACACGAGAAAUUCUGUCUGAAGAUGGGGGGACCAUCCUCCAAGGCUAAAUACUCGUGAUCGACCGAUAGUGAACCAGUACCGUGAGGGAAAGGU